AGUGAACGCUGGCGGCGUGCCUAAGACAUGCAAGUCGAACGAGAAAGCUUCUUCGGAAGUAAGUACAGUGGCGCACGGGUGAGUAACACUUGAGUAACGUACCUUUCAGAGGGGGACAACAGGAGGAAACUCCUGCUAAUACCGCGUACGCUCUGUUUUUCUGCGGAUUAACAGAGGAAAGCCGUAAGGCGCUGAAAGAGCGGCUCGAGCACUAUUAGCUUGAUGGUGGGGUAACGGCCUACCAUUGCUACGAUAGUUAGCUGGUCUGAGAGGAUGAUCAGCCACACUGGAACUGAUACACGGUCCAGACUCCUACGGGAGGCAGCAGUUAGGAAUUUUGCGCAAUGGGGGAAACCCUGACGCAGCAACGCCGCGUGAGUGAAGAAGGCCCUAGGGUUGUAAAGCUCUUUCGAUAGGGAAGAAACAAAUGACGGUACCUAUAUAAGAAGCACCGGCUAACUCCG
This 464-nucleotide ribosomal RNA is filed under the name uncultured Pseudomonadota bacterium. RNAcentral's name for it is "bacterial SSU rRNA". It matches the Rfam family "Bacterial small subunit ribosomal RNA", at positions 29 to 505 of the family's 1533-position model. Lineage: Bacteria; Pseudomonadati; Pseudomonadota. The record is from RNAcentral.